AUCUGCGUUCAAAGCUGGUGGAACACAGGGUAUCCCGUCCGCUCUGCCUUACUCAAGCCCCUAAGCGGUCGCUCAGUAGUAUAGUGGGUGACCAUAUGCGAAUCGCGACUAACGCAGGUU
RNAcentral lists this ribosomal RNA (120 nucleotides) under Orbilia oligospora ATCC 24927. Lineage: Eukaryota; Fungi; Ascomycota; Orbiliomycetes; Orbiliales; Orbiliaceae. The record is from RNAcentral.